CCUACGGGGAGCUGCAGUGAGGAAUAUUGGUCAAUGGACGGAAGUCUGAACCAGCCAUGCCGCGUGCAGGAAGACGGCUCUAUGAGUUGUAAACUGCUUUUGUACAAGGGUAAACCUGAAUACGUGUAUUCUGCUGAAAGUACUGUACGAAUAAGGAUCGGCUAACUCCGUGCCAGCAGCCGCGGUAAUACGGAGGAUCCAAGCGUUAUCCGGAUUUAUUGGGUUUAAAGGGUGCGUAGGCGGAUUGAUAAGUUAGAGGUGAAAUGUCCGAGCUUAACUCGGGAACUGCCUCUGAUACUGUUGAUCUAGAGAGUAGAUGCGGUAGGCGGAAUGUAUGGUGUAGCGGUGAAAUGCUUAGAGAUCAUACAGAACACCGAUUGCGAAGGCAGCUUACCAAUCUAUAUCUGACGUUGAGGCACGAAAGCGUGGGGAGCAAACAGGAUUAGAUACCCGAGUAGUC
This 460-nucleotide ribosomal RNA is filed under the name uncultured bacterium. Its description in RNAcentral is "partial 16S ribosomal RNA". It matches the Rfam family "Bacterial small subunit ribosomal RNA", at positions 338 to 795 of the family's 1533-position model. The record is from RNAcentral.